AGACAGAAGGUAUUAUCCAUGACAGACAGAAGGUAUUAUCCAUGACAGACAGAAGGUAGUAUCCAUGCCAGACAGAAGGUAUUAUCCAUGCCAGACAGAAGGUAUUAUCCAUGACAGAUAGAAGGUAUUAUCCAUGACAGACAGAAGGUAUUAUCCAUGACAGACAGAAGGUAUUAUCCAUGACAGACAGAAGGUAUUAUCCAUGACAGACAGAAGGUAUUAUCCAUGACAGACAGAAGGUAUUAUCCAUGACAGACAGAAGGUAUUAUCCAUGACAGACAGAAGGUAUUAUCCAUGACAGACAGAAGGUAUUAUCCAUGACAGACAGAAGGUAUUAUCCAUGACAGACAGAAGGUAUUAUCCAUGACAGACAGA
Oncorhynchus keta (chum salmon) is the source of this 375-nucleotide long non-coding RNA. RefSeq lists it as uncharacterized. The transcript is spliced from 3 exons. Lineage: Eukaryota; Metazoa; Chordata; Actinopteri; Salmoniformes; Salmonidae. The record is from RefSeq and is a predicted model, not a curated record.